Long non-coding RNA from Pongo pygmaeus (Bornean orangutan), 4093 nucleotides. RefSeq lists it as uncharacterized. The record is from RefSeq and is a predicted model, not a curated record. The transcript is spliced from 3 exons. Lineage: Eukaryota; Metazoa; Chordata; Mammalia; Primates; Hominidae.
CAGCCACCACCACAUACAAUGCAAGUCGGAAAAUGGGCAGGACUGGGGGUGGGGCAGGCAGAGGCCACCUCUGUCAGGCUGGGGUGGCAUUGGCUAGACUAUCUUCCCAUACCUGGGACAUGACCUCCAAGGACCUGCUGUCAGUCAUGGUGAUGGCUUGGAUUGGCAGGGAGCUUGCUCUCUUUCUCGGAGGGCUGGAGCAGCGUGGGGCCAAAGACAGUGGCAAGGUUGUGCAGGGACACCUCAUUGACUGCCUCCUUCUCUGCCACCCUGUAGAGGACUGAAGCAGAGGGUGCUGUUUCAACGCCACCACCAGGAGAGAGGCAGAGGGGCUGUGCUGUGCUAGAGUCCUCAGGGAGGGAGUGACCUCGACCCUGGUUGUGCUGCAAGCUGACUCCAGCCUUGGGAUCAGCAGCAGCAGGGUACCCGACCAUGGCAGAGGGGGCAUAGCUCGGUUUCCCACACCUCACUUUUCACAGCCUCCAAGGGCAGCAGUGCACGUGGAGGAGACGUCUCCCACGAGGCCAAGGCCUCUAGUGCUCACUGAUGCCCUCUGCGAAUUUGGGGUAGAACUCGUCAGUGAAGAGGGGCCCGGGCAGCUCACGGAAGUAUAGCUUCAGCGUGCCUGCAAUGGCGUUCACGUCCAUCUCACUCAUCAUCACCGACACGUCCUUGUUAUCUGGAAAGAGCACAGAAAUGCAGCAGCCUCCUUGAGGAUCCUGAUAAAUGAAGAAAAGACACAGAGAAGGAUGUGACAUGCCUGGGCCAUGGAGCACUCUAGGGUCUCAUCGUGGACACCACUGCCCACACCUCCAUCCCGUCCUGCGCAGGCCGACACUCACUGACGUUGAAGGCUGCCUUCAGUGCCUGGAUGUCUGCGGCCACUCCGGACACGCGGUAGAUGCCCACCUCCUCCAUGCCUCGGCGCUCGAUCUCCUCCACACACUGGCGCGCGAUGUAGGGCACCUUGGACCUCUCUCUCCUGCGGGAGGAGGGAAUGUUCUCAGUGUCCCAACAGCCCUGCUUGGGCCAUAACACAGGAGACCUGCUCCCUAUCUGCACACCCGGAGGCGGGGUGAGGACGGUGACGAAGGUACCCAGGUCUGGGGCUGCACACAGAGCCUUCUGCAUGCCUGUGCUCCCUCUGCAAGCUCUGUCCUCAUUGCAUGUACUUUCUCAGGAACCUUUCAAGCGGCCAGAACCCCUGUGAAUCACACAUGAUCUUUGCGGGAAGGUCAGGAGGCCUGUCUAAGUCAAGUCAGCACAGGAAGGGCAUCUGACAGAUUCCAGGCCUGAGGUUAGCAGCCUGUGCCCCCAGCUGGGAGAUCAGACCCGGUAUUGGUCCUGCCACCUACAUGCUGUGUGAGAGGAGAAUCCCUGACCCCUGCCCUAGGCCUAGGCCUUAACAAACAUCUGACGAAUGAAUGAAGGGCUGCCUCAGCACCAGUGCUCCAAGUCCUGUGAUGCUAAGUGCUUUUCUCCUCUGAGUCUUAGCAAUGGACAAUUCCAGUACCACCACACAGGACACUAGAGUAAGAAUACUUCAAAGUUAGUGCUGUGCUGAGGCCUUAACUUUAGUUCUGUUUUGCAACUGGAUUUAGGAGCACAUCAAAGCCACUUCUCAAGCCACCCUCAUUAGCAGGGCUUAUUUUGAGGAGUUGCUGAUGGAGUCCUCGCUGCUCAUGCCCAGAGCCCUCCCAGAGUACUAUGCAAGUGGCUGCCAUGCAGUUCGGGGUGGGGCGUGGUGUUUAGACACAGAUAGGAGUCCAGGGUAUGACUGAUGGAGGCCCCGGCCCACGUGACCAGCAAGGUCAGGGGCCCAGCCGGAUUCCAUCCUGGGGAAGCAAAUGAAUUCUCAGAGGAAGUGGUCUCUGUCUGCAUGAACUGCUCUCAAACCAACAAACAGGCUUCUCUUGCCAACUGACCCAUGACAAAGGGUUCAAGAUUGUUUGAAAUAAAAAAAAAAGGGAGCAGGGAGGCAGUAGGUCCUGCAAAAGUAAAUUGUUUAUUUUACAAUAAGAAAGUGAUUACAUAUUUCAUUUUUUUUACAAUGGUCAAAAAUUAGAAGUGAUUGUGAAGAUGAUGUCUACCCGCCUUGCUGAUGAGUAGGAUGUGAUUUGGCUCUUUAGGAAACUGAAUUUGCAGAACUUAAGAAUAUUGAUUUAUAAAGGGCAUGGCCAUUGACCCAGUCCAUCUUAUGCAAAUCUGGAUUCCAUAAAUAAUAUUUAAAAAUGAAAGUAUUGGGGUGGAGGUUGCAGUGAGCGGAGAUCACGCCACUACACUGCAGCCUGGUCGACAGAGUGAGACUCUGUCUCAAAACGAAAAAAGCAAAAGAAGAAGCCAUUCCCAAUGUUGCUCAUCAAAUUAUGACCAUAAAUUUCCAGGAUCAGACUAAUGGCUAAAGAGACUGAUCCAUCAACAUCAAGCAGAGAAUAAAGCAGAUUUCUUUUUUUUUUCUGUUUUGGAGAGCCUCUAAGAACUUGAAAAAUACAUAUACCACACUCUUAAGACCUGGUGGUUCUUAAUCAGGGAUAUUCAUUAAAAUGCUGGAAAACUGUAAAGACUUCUAGGUCCCAUCCAAGGAGAUUUUGCUUCUGAUUGACUGGCUAGUGGCCUGGCCAUUGGUAUUUUGAAAAAUCUCUCCAAGUGAUUCUUUUACAUCCCAGAUAGAAAACCCUAAAUUAAAGGUGAAAAAACCAGACACCAAGUAGCAUUUAAAUAAAUGUCAACUUUAACUCCACAAAGCAUCUGGUUGCAUGUGGACAGAAAGAGAAGGAAAGAGGGCCCUAUAUCUGGAUAACUUAGAAAUGUGCUCCCCCUAGCAAGAUAUCUACCAAAAUUAAAACCAUAUUUGAGGAUGCUGGCGCUGCAAGCAAUAUAUAAAUGAUGCAUGUAACGUCAUUUAAUAUGAUCUUACUUUUAAAAAUGAGUAGAAUGGUGUUUUCUAGCUUUUAGUUUUUCCACAUAUCAAUAUAGAAAUUAGUCUUCUGCAGCUGCAGAGGCAAUUCAGUUUCCAGCUUGCUUGCGUGUGGCCUAGAGCCAUAACAUGACCCAGGGCAUCUCUGAUCCACCCCUCCCACAACCACCAGAGCCAGAGACAACCAAAUGCCUUGGACCAUCUGGUGAGAGAGGUAGCUGCAUGGCAGUAAGAGUCCUGCUCUGAAAUGACAAGAGCCUUAAGGCCUAGUGUUGACUUACUGCUAACUUGCUGACACUGCACACUUGCUGAGUGAUCUUGGGUGAACCCUUUCACCUCUCUGAGGUUCACUGUGAAAUGAGAGGUCAAUGGUCAAACUUAAACACCUUCAGAGGUUGGGUAAUAUCAGUGAGUAAAAUGGACCAGGCACAGCACAAAGCGGAAUGGUGCAGACUGUGGCAAGUUGAGAACUUAUGCCUCUGUAAUGGGGGCAGCCACCACUCAGUUACUGCAGAUUACUCCCUCUUUGCUGAGGACAGUUGCACAGGUAGUGUACUGCAGAAGGGUAACACCUUAGAGGGAUGUCAUUUGCAUCACAGAUGCAAAAUUCACGAGUGAAGACUGAUGUAGUUUGUCCCUAAAAUUUUGCUUUGAUUUGCAGCUAUUUAUCCAUGGCAGUUUCCUGAAAGAUGUCUAUAGAAGGUUUUGAGGAAUGGGCACCUUUUAAUUUGCUACUAAACUAAACCCCAAGGGCCCAUUAUAUGCCAGCGUGGUCCUAGAGAUUCCACACUCAUUCAGUUCCUUUUCAUCAUAGGAAAUGGGCAUUAUAAUAUCAGGUCCACUGUAAGAGGUGGAGGCUGGGCGUGGUGGCUCAUGCCUGUAAUCCCAGCACUUUGGGAGGCCUACCUGUGCAGAUCGCGGGAGCCCAAGAGUUUGAGACCAGCCUGGGCAACACGGUGAAACUCUGCCUUUACAACAUAUACAAAAAGUUAGCCGGGCUUGGUAGCAUGUCCCUGUAGUCCCAGCUAUUCGGGAGGCUGAGGUGGGAGGAUUGCUUGAGCCUGGGAGGUGAAGGCUGCAGUGAGCCCAGAUUGCACAACUAUACUCCAGCUUAGGCCACAGAGCAAGACCUUCUCUCAAAAAAUAAAGUAAAAUAAAAUUAUAAAAAGAAAGAAA